Molecule: ribosomal RNA, 292 nt
Filed under: uncultured bacterium
Lineage: Bacteria
Description: partial 16S ribosomal RNA
Rfam family: Bacterial small subunit ribosomal RNA
Source: RNAcentral
GUGCCAGCAGCCGCGGUAAUACGUAGGUGGCAAGCGUUGUCCGGAAUUAUUGGGCGUAAAGCGCGCGCAGGCGGUUCCUUAAGUCUGAUGUGAAAGCCCCCGGCUCAACCGGGGAGGGUCAUUGGAAACUGGGGAACUUGAGUACUGAAGAGGAAAGCGGAAUUCCACGUGUAGCGGUGAAAUGCGUAGAGAUGUGGAGGAACACCAGUGGCGAAGGCGGCUUUCUGGUCAGUAACUGACGCUGAGGCGCGAAAGCGUGGGGAGCAAACAGGAUUAGAAACCCCGGUAGUCC